Molecule: long non-coding RNA, 1038 nt
Filed under: Sinocyclocheilus grahami
Lineage: Eukaryota; Metazoa; Chordata; Actinopteri; Cypriniformes; Cyprinidae
Description: lncRNA (ENSSGRG00000019032.1)
Source: RNAcentral
CCCUGCAUACGUGUGUCAGAUGAUGGUGUGUGUGUGUGUGUGUGUUGUUUGUGCCGUAGGGUGUGCGUUUGCUCAGAGCAGAAUGGAUCAGGAAAGAGAGUGCAGGCGGACGCCAUAAAGACACUGUUAGCACAGGAAAACGUUCCAGAUACAUUCGGCCGUCAGAGGAAGUCCACACUGAAGCUCAUGGACACACACAACCAUCUCAAAGUAAAUCACACACACACAGACCUUCACCAACGUGCAAACCAGCAGAACAUCUCUCUCACACACACAUUAGUUCAUACUGACACGAGGCCGGCCUGAAGUAAGCUUAAUGUAUGAUUUUUGAGGGAAUUAAAAUGUAUAUGAGCUGAUUUGAGCGUUUGAUGUCUGUAAUGCUUCAGAUAAGCAGCCACAGUGGCCUUAGAGAAAUCACACCUUGUUAUGUUGCUGAAGAACAUGCCCUUUCAGUUUCGUUUCAUUCAUGUCCUGAUCUUUCUUGAGUUUGGCCGUAUUGAUGCCGACGCACUGUGAUGUCAUCGUCUAACGUUUGGUUUCCCACUUUUUUUACUCUUGAAAAUAAAGGAGAUGACAGCGAGUGAACGUGACUCAUUCUCUCCGCGGCUCUGUGUUAAUGAUGGAGGGGGAGUCUGCUGUAGAUCAGUCUUGUGUCUCAGAGUCAUGUUGGCAGGGUUUUUCUGAGAGCAACGCCUCCGACUUUACGUUUGACUAUUUUUCUCUCGUCCUCUGAAAUAAGCAUUUUGCCUGGCGUCUGCUGAGCGUGAGAGAAAUCAAAGCACGAGCCUCGACUCAUCCGAGGCUCUGGAGUUCUGACACGAGAUCGAGAGGUUUGUUCGAGGUGAAGCCGUCACAGGCAGAAACGAGAUUGAGUUUCUUAAGCCCUAUUUGGUAAUUAUUUCUGUAGACGAAUGAGUGCAUGGAUAAAACUUAAGAAUUCAGAUGCCAAAUAAUUCACUGAGGACGAGUUUUUAGGACUUAAAAAAAAAAAAGGAAUCUAAUGAAUUGGACGUUUACUUCUCUCAUGGUGAAUUCUCC